RNAcentral lists this ribosomal RNA (431 nucleotides) under Vibrio vulnificus. RNAcentral's name for it is "bacterial SSU rRNA". It matches the Rfam family "Bacterial small subunit ribosomal RNA", at positions 12 to 439 of the family's 1533-position model. Lineage: Bacteria; Pseudomonadati; Pseudomonadota; Gammaproteobacteria; Vibrionales; Vibrionaceae. The record is from RNAcentral.
UUUGAUCAUGGCUCAGAUUGAACGCUGGCGGCAGGCCUAACACAUGCAAGUCGAGCGGCAGCACAGAGAAACUUGUUUCUCGGGUGGCGAGCGGCGGACGGGUGAGUAAUGCCUGGGAAAUUGCCCUGAUGUGGGGGAUAACCAUUGGAAACGAUGGCUAAUACCGCAUGAUAGCUUCGGCUCAAAGAGGGGGACCUUCGGGCCUCUCGCGUCAGGAUAUGCCCAGGUGGGAUUAGCUAGUUGGUGAGGUAAGGGCUCACCAAGGCGACGAUCCCUAGCUGGUCUGAGAGGAUGAUCAGCCACACUGGAACUGAGACACGGUCCAGACUCCUACGGGAGGCAGCAGUGGGGAAUAUUGCACAAUGGGCGCAAGCCUGAUGCAGCCAUGCCGCGUGUGUGAAGAAGGCCUUCGGGUUGUAAAGCACUUUCAG